UAGACAAAUAGAAUAAUACAGUAAAGUAGGUACUUGAAUGAUUUUUAUUAAUUUUUAGUUUCAUUCUUUAUUUAAAGUUUAAGAUGUAAAAGCUCUGAAAGUAAUUUACCAAAUUUCGUUGUCAUGGAAAGCAGUGCACCACCGCCUUGGUAUCUUAAGCUGCGUACACACUGGGUCAACAAAUGUGUUUCGCUAGCCUUCUUUGGUCCUGUUUGAACAUACAUGUUCAAGUCGAGAGCUAACGAAUUUGUGUAUGUUUUACGCAACACUUGAACCGGGUAUCUGGGUACAUUUUCUAAACUGACCAGUCUGUUAUAAAAUAAAUAUUAUAAUAAAUAAAUGUAAGUAAAUAUUAAAUGGAUCACACAAAAGUUGUUUUAUUUAAUUUGGCACACAGUAAACAGUGGACUAUUCAACUAAGUAGUUUUGGGGAAUCUUACACAAUGGACAACCACACACUAGUAUUGUUCUUACAACGUUUAUUGACGUCACAUACAGACAACACUUAAACUAUCACUAGUGAAUGCCGGGGUUUGUUUUCGUGUCGCGAGUCGGCUCAGCGGGCUUUGAGGCCGGCGAGCGUUCUCAGCGAUGUAGAGAAAACAAACCUAAUUGUCAGAGACGGGUGGGGUCACGACGAGGCAAGGGUAGCUGUGUCGGGCGUUCUGGCGUGGAGGGAGGCCAACUCUUGCAUGUGUGGUAGGGUCGACUCUCCUGUUCGUUGGAACUGCCUUCUAGCUAGAUGCCUAAUAAAAGCUCUCCAUCCGCAAUCUCCUGUGAAUCAAGGUAAUUCGCACAUAGCGCGGGGCGUUAGUUAUAGUUCUAAUAGAGAGAGAAGCUGGCGCGGCGUAAGUUAAGCGUGGGCGUAUGUAGGUCCGGGAAAAAGGCGUGAAAUUAUGUAUGUACGGAUAUAAAGCUACUUAGAUGAUCUUCAGAGGGGUUAGUGCGAGUUUUAGUCGGUCAAACGCGUCGAGCAAGUAAACGCGAGUUUGUAUGGAGUUGCAUUAGUGCCUUUGGGUUACCACUAGGUGACGCUGAUCACAUAUAAAUUCGCGUUUACUACAUCGACGCGUUGGUGAAGUGAGCAGAAGUGAGAACAUUUUACUACUGUGCCAUAGAUAUACGAUUUAGCUUCAACACCCAUUUGACGUACUAGACAGCCUUGUCUGAAACGAAACGUAACUGUCACAGUGACAAUGACGUAACUUGUUAGUCGUCAAAAUAGUGUUGAGUUCCUUGCAAGUUGAAACGAAAACAGUGUAAUGUUUCUUUUAAAAGUAUAAAUAUUAGAAAGUUUUUGCAAAUUAUAUUUUGCUUUAUAAGCAUCAAUUAAUCGCACUGUGACUAUCAAUCGUUUUUGUGUGUUCUUCUCUUUAAAACCUAACCUUAAUCGGUGUGUUUCGUAGAGUAAAAGUUAUUUUGUGAUUGUUAAUUUUUUUUAAUGUUUAAUUUUCAUACUAUAAUACGUUUAUAAUACACAUAACUUACUCUUUUUUGCUGGCCGCACUUUAGUACGCAAUAUCAAAAAAGGAAGGAAAAAACUCGUUUCUUCAAAUUGUCCAAUCUGCGGUGAUGAGGUGAGCGGCUACCACUACGGGGUUAAAACUUGCGAAUCAUGUAAAGGAUUCUUCAAACGGACUUUUCAAGGGAACAUGUUUGAAAACUAUCGGUGUAAGAGAGGCGAUGGUAAAUGUAGAAUUUCGAUGAGCAACAGGACCUCCUGUCGACUUUGUAGAUACAACAAGUGCUUGUUUGUUGGCAUGCUGCCUGUCUUUAAACAGGACGCCUUAUAUCUCUAAAAUAAGGAUUUUAAGGAAAUAAGGAUUUAUUUUAGAGAUAUAAGGCGUCCUGAGGGGUAAGUGCGAUUUUUACUCGAUCAAACGCGUCGUAAAUAAAGGCGAAUUUGUAUGUGAUUUGAUCAGCGCCAUCUAGUGGUAACGCGAUGGCACUAAUGCAAUUCCAUACAAAUUCGUGAUUACUUGCUCGACGGGUUUGGUCGAGUAAAACCCGCAUUAACCCCUCUGUUUAAAAACAGGCAGCAUAUGUGUAACUCCCCCCGAAAAAGUCCAGUUAUCUGACUGACUAAUAGUAAUCUGAGUUACAUUUGUUUGAGUGCUAACCGAUGCACAUGGGGUGAAGGAAAACAUCCAUCGUGAGGAAACCUGCAGAUUCAGGUUCCUGGAUAGUGUCUCCAUGAUCCGAUAAGGUUUCUCCUGCAAAUAUUGCGGAGGUCAGACUGUUGUCGCUCCGUAUUAAACCUUGACUUUGCCAUCUAGGAUGGUGGCAGGACCCUGGGCUCCCCUCUGUGAUGCAAAGUCAAGUAAUAUUCGAACAUUGAGACGAAUGUAGUCAUCCAGUAAUGUCUCUGCGAUUAUUUUCUUAAUCACAUUGUUAAUUGUAGUAUGUUCAGUACAUACGAAGAGGCUAUGCUUUAUUUUCUCUCUUGUUCUAUCUCUUCGGUUCUGUUAGAUUCUAUGAUAGAUUAAUCAGACCCGUACUUACAUAUGUAUUCAUGUUUUUUUUUUAUAAUUCAUGUAGACAGAUUCUUGAAUAAUAAAAAUAAUAGGAAGUAUAUAUACCUCUGAUUGGUAUCAGUUAAAUCUGUUAAUUAUUAUUAUUAUUAAAAAGGAUAUGAAAGAAAAAUAUUUGUAAUUUCGAAGAUAUAUAUUAUUUAAAUUUUUUUUGGAUACACUAUUAAUAAUUAAGGUAGGUACUUAAGCAACAAGUUUUAUAUAUAAGUAAUUUUUAUACUUAGAUUAUUAGAAAUUUCUAUGAAUAUUAUGAAUUAGAGAGAAUGUAAUAAAAUUUUAUAAUAAGUUUAUAUGAGUAUAAUAAAUAUCAUGGUUACGGUUUACUGGUUU
Amyelois transitella is the source of this 2861-nucleotide long non-coding RNA. RefSeq lists it as uncharacterized. NCBI's taxonomy places the organism in Eukaryota, Metazoa, Arthropoda, Insecta, Lepidoptera, Pyralidae. The record is from RefSeq and is a predicted model, not a curated record. The transcript has 3 exons.